This 407-nucleotide ribosomal RNA is filed under the name uncultured bacterium. RNAcentral's name for it is "bacterial SSU rRNA". It matches the Rfam family "Bacterial small subunit ribosomal RNA", at positions 917 to 1322 of the family's 1533-position model. The record is from RNAcentral.
GGGCCCGCACAAGCGGUGGAGCAUGUGAUUUAAUUCGAAGCAACGCGCAGAACCUUACCAGUCCUUGACAUGGGUAGUUUGGAUUUUGGAGACAAUCUCCUUCAGUUCGGCUGGCUACCACACAGGUGCUGCAUGGCUGUCGUCAGCUCGUGUCGUGAGAUGUUGGGUUAAGUCCCGCAACGAGCGCAACCCUCAUCUUUAGUUGCCAUCGGUUCGGCCGGGCACUCUAGAGAAACUGCCUGCGAUGAGCAGGAGGAAGGCGGGGAUGACGUCAAGUCCUCAUGGCCCUUAUGGACUGGGCUACACACGUGCUACAAUGGCGGUGACAAUGGGCAGCGAGGGGGCGACCUUGAGCAAAUCCCUAAAACCGUCCCAGUUCGGAUUGUACUCUGCAACUCGAGUGCAUG